UAGGGAAUCUUCGGCAAUGGACGAAAGUCUGACCGAGCAACGCCGCGUGAGUGAAGAAGGUUUUCGGAUCGUAAAACUCUGUUGUUAGAGAAGAACAAGGACGUUAGUAACUGAACGUCCCCUGACGGUAUCUAACCAGAAAGCCACGGCUAACUACGUGCCAGCAGCCGCGGUAAUACGUAGGUGGCAAGCGUUGUCCGGAUUUAUUGGGCGUAAAGCGAGCGCAGGCGGUUUCUUAAGUCUGAUGUGAAAGCCCCCGGGUCAACCGGGGAGGGUCAUUGGAAACUGGGAGACUUGAGUGCAGAAGAGGAGAGUGGAAGUCCAUGUGUAGCGGUGAAAUGCGUAGAUAUAUGGAGGAACACCAGUGGCGAAGGCGGCUCUCUGGUCUGUAACUGACGCUGAGGCUCGAAAGCGUGGGGAGCAAACAGG
Molecule: ribosomal RNA, 429 nt
Filed under: Gemmatimonadota bacterium
Lineage: Bacteria; Pseudomonadati; Gemmatimonadota
Description: Gemmatimonadetes bacterium partial 16S ribosomal RNA
Rfam family: Bacterial small subunit ribosomal RNA
Source: RNAcentral